This 1166-nucleotide long non-coding RNA is filed under the name Homo sapiens (human). RNAcentral describes it as "novel transcript, antisense to NUDT4". Lineage: Eukaryota; Metazoa; Chordata; Mammalia; Primates; Hominidae. The record is from RNAcentral.
GGGCUGGAGUUCGGCGAGGCCUUGGGACUGGCGCUGGAGCCCAGCGUGGGAUGACCGUGCCCCGAAAACAUGCCAGUGAAUGGAAAGAAGCCAAGGUCCCCUCCCUCCCUGCUUAUACCCUCAACUUUGCCAAUGAGGACCCUAAAUACCAGCUGCACUACAGGGGAUGUAACUACAUACACCGUCACCAAAGUUGCAGCCUGGCCAAGAAAUGCCAGGGGACGUCGCGGCGAUUGCAGACUCCGCGGUGACUGUGUAGAUACGUCCAGAAUUCGCCCUUGUAGCGCGGGGAGAGGCGAGAGUGAAGGCCUAGAAAAAAAGAAGAAUAAAUGGGACAUUACACAAGUUCCUUUAAAGAUUCUUCACGUUGAUAUAAGGAGCCUGCUUCCUCAUUGCCAUUUGGGUGCAGAGUUCUUCCUGUCAGCCCACUCAUCAUGCUCAUCAUACCUUGCUGCCAGGCCUCUCUAUGCUGAUGACUCGAGGAAAACACGCUCCUCUGGUUGCAAAGAAGGCAUUGUUUCUAAAGGCACCUGUCUCAGAGCUCUAGAUGGAUUAUGACCCACGGCGGUCAUUGGACUGUAAACCUGACACAGGUUUAACCUUCUGAUGGAGCUUGGUUUUUGUCCUAGAAAAACUAUAAAGAGAAAAACAGCGGCACAUAAAGAACAGUAUAUGGUGUAAAGAGAAGCGGGAGUCCUGGGUCGAUGUUAGAAGACAUGAAUGCAAAUCCCUGGCUGGCUAUUAACUUAGUUUGAUUUGGAUAAAUCUCUGUAUUUGAGCCUCAGUUUCUCUAUCAGAUGCCUGUAAAAUGAACUCAAAAACGCUUUCUUCAGAAAAUUGCUCAAGUAUCAAAUGAGAUAACAUAUAAGAAAGUAAUUGUGGGCUGGGCAUGGUGGCUCACACCUAUAAUCCCAAUACUUUGGGAGGCUGGAGUGGGAGGAUCGCUUGAGGCCAGGAGUUCAAGACCAGCCUGGGUAACAUGGCAAAACCUCAUCUCUACAAAAAAUAAAAAACCUAGCCCAGCAUGGUGGCAUGUGAUUGUGGUCCCAGCUACUUGGGAGGCUGAGAUGAGAGUAUCACUUGAGCCCAGGAGGUUGAAGCUACUGUGAACCACAUGCCACUUCACUUCACUCCUGCCUUCCAGCCUGGGAGACAGAUUGAUACCC